UUAGGCGACCGGCGCACGGGUGAGUAACACGUAUCCAACCUGCCGAUGACUCGGGGAUAGCCUUUCGAAAGAAAGAUUAAUACCCGAUGGCAUAGUUCUUCCGCAUGGUAGAACUAUUAAAGAAUUUCGGUCAUCGAUGGGGAUGCGUUCCAUUAGGUUGUUGGCGGGGUAACGGCCCACCAAGCCUUCGAUGGAUAGGGGUUCUGAGAGGAAGGUCCCCCACAUUGGAACUGAGACACGGUCCAA
RNAcentral lists this ribosomal RNA (246 nucleotides) under uncultured bacterium. Its description in RNAcentral is "partial 16S ribosomal RNA". It matches the Rfam family "Bacterial small subunit ribosomal RNA", at positions 87 to 334 of the family's 1533-position model. The record is from RNAcentral.